This 253-nucleotide ribosomal RNA is filed under the name uncultured bacterium. RNAcentral's name for it is "partial 16S ribosomal RNA". It matches the Rfam family "Bacterial small subunit ribosomal RNA", at positions 524 to 776 of the family's 1533-position model. The record is from RNAcentral.
UACGGAGGGGGCUAGCGUUGUUCGGAAUUACUGGGCGUAAAGCGCGCGUAGGCGGACCUGCAAGUUGGGGGUGAAAGCCCGGGGCUCAACCUCGGAAUUGCCUUCAAAACUGAUAACCUGGAGUAUGGAAGAGGUAAGUGGAACUCCGAGUGUAGAGGUGAAAUUCGUAGAUAUUCGGAAGAACACCAGUGGCGAAGGCGACUUACUGGUCCAUUACUGACGCUGAGGCUCGAAAGCGUGGGGAGCAAACAGG